CAGUCUAGCUGUCUGCCGUGGCUAGGAUGCCAGAUGGCAAUCAGAGUGACCCUGAGAAUACGGGGCUGUGCGGGAUUGUAGAGCUCAUCUCUAAUCUUUCACUGCUGUGGGAAUUCUUUCAGGAUUCUCAGAUGGAAGAUGGCCCAGCAUCUUUUCACAUGUUUAUGUGCACAGCUGGUGGCUGCCUACCUCUGGAAACCAGCCCAUUUGACGCUGGUCCCUCUGGCUAUGGGGGUUUCCAGGCUGAUGUCCUCUCCCCGAGCAUCUGUUUCAGUUUUCUCUCUAGAAACUGUAACUGAUCCUGCUCGCACCUUCUACUUCAGAGACAAUACACCACUUCACAGCCCGCAAGCUCUCACAGUAUGCCAAACAGAGACCUGGAAAGGAGGAAACCUCCCUUGCCUGAGAACCCUGAAUUAAGCAGCGGCUAAAACACACAGGCAUGCCAGCAUCAGAUGCACUGAACUACUUUGACAGUGGUGCACGGAGCAGAGAGAAACAUCUUAACCUCUGAGUGGCUUCACUCUCUAGGCAGUGGGAGAAAGCAAGACAAACUUUGGCCUGCUGUUAUGAUUCUGUUCAGUGCCUGCAUGUGUCAGAUAGAUUCAUGGUGUCUUCUACAUACCUGGCACGGGCACUCCAUAGACGUUCACUUCCUCAACAAAAUCAACCAGUCCUACUAUGUCAGCAACUUCAGUGGUAGCUACAUUCUCUCCUUUCCACCUGGGAGAAAAGGAAGGGUUAGCAGAAACCAUGCUUGCUUUCUGGCUAGUGUUUCUUUUAGACCUUGGUGAGGUGGUUGAUAUUCCCAUACUGGUCCCCUAAGACCCCCCAGCUCACUUGACUCAUUCUGUUGGUGUCAAAAGGGUAUAGCCCUAGAUAAUAGAAUGUGAAAUUUCAAUCUUGUCACACAAAACAUAAUAGAUAUCAUUGUGUGCGAAUGUGAAAUCUAGAGUUGGCUAAGAAAUUUACUGGAUGUCAGAAAUAAAUCUCAACUUCUUUUA
Long non-coding RNA from Mesocricetus auratus (golden hamster), 1004 nucleotides. RefSeq lists it as uncharacterized. NCBI's taxonomy places the organism in Eukaryota, Metazoa, Chordata, Mammalia, Rodentia, Cricetidae. The record is from RefSeq and is a predicted model, not a curated record. The transcript has 2 exons.